CGGGGGGCAUGCCUUACCAUGCAAGUCGAACGGCAGCGGGGGUAGCUUGCUACCUGCCGGCGAGUGGCGAACGGGUGAGUAAUACAUCGGAACGUGCCCUGUAGUGGGGGAUAACUAGUCGAAAGACUAGCUAAUACCGCAUACGACCUGAGGGUGAAAGUGGGGGACCGCAAGGCCUCAUGCUAUAGGAGCGGCCGAUGUCUGAUUAGCUAGUUGGUGGGGUAAAGGCCCACCAAGGCGACGAUCAGUAGCUGGUCUGAGAGGACGAUCAGCCACACUGGGACUGAGACACGGCCCAGGCUYCUACGGGAGGCAGCAGUGGGGAAUUUUGGACAAUGGGGGCAACCCUGAUCCAGCAAUGCCGCGUGUGUGAAGAAGGCCUUCGGGUUGUAAAGCACUUUUGUCCGGAAAGAAAUCGCACUGGUUAAUACCUGGUGUGGAUGACGGUACCGGAAGAAUAAGGACCGGCUAACUACGUGCCAGCAGCCGCGGUAAUACGUAGGGUCCAAGCGUUAAUCGGAAUUACUGGGCGUAAAGCGUGCGCAGGCGGUUGUGCAAGACCGAUGUGAAAUCCCCGGGCUUAACCUGGGAAUUGCAUUGGUGACUGCACGGCUAGAGUGUGUCAGAGGGAGGUAGAAUUCCACGUGUAGCAGUGAAAUGCGUAGAGAUGUGGAGGAAUACCGAUGGCGAAGGCAGCCUCCUGGGAUAACACUGACGCUCAUGCACGAAAGCGUGGGGAGCAAACAGGAUUAGAUACCCUGGUAGUCCACGCCCUAAACGAUGUCAACUAGUUGUUGGGGAUUCAUUUCCUUAGUAACGUAGCUAACGCGUGAAGUUGACCGCCUGGGGAGUACGGUCGCAAGAUUAAAACUCAAAGGAAUUGACGGGGACCCGCACAAGCGGUGGAUGAUGUGGAUUAAUUCGAUGCAACGCGAAAAACCUUACCUACCCUUGACAUGCCACUAACGAAGCAGAGAUGCAUUAGGUGCUCGAAAGAGAAAGUGGACACAGGUGCUGCAUGGCUGUCGUCAGCUCGUGUCGUGAGAUGUUGGGGUUAAGUCCCGCAACGAGCGCAACCCUUGUCUCUAGUUGCUACGAAAGGGCACUCUAGAAGAGACUGCCCGGUGACAAACCGGAGGAAGGUGGGGAUGACGUCAAGUCCUCAUGGCCCUUAUGGGUAGGGCUUCACACGUCAUACAAUGGUGCAUACAGAGGGUUGCCAAGCCGCGAGGUGGAGCUAAUCCCAGAAAAUGCAUCGUAGUCCGGAUCGUAGUCUGCAACUCGACUACGUGAAGCUGGAAUCGCUAGUAAUCGCGGAUCAGCAUGCCGCGGUGAAUACGUUCCCGGGUCUUGUACACACCGCCCGUCACACCAUGGGAGUGGGCUUUACCAGAAGUAGUUAGCCUAACCGUAAGGAGGGCGAUACCACGGGUAUG
This 1436-nucleotide ribosomal RNA is filed under the name Ralstonia solanacearum. RNAcentral describes it as "bacterial SSU rRNA". Lineage: Bacteria; Pseudomonadati; Pseudomonadota; Betaproteobacteria; Burkholderiales; Burkholderiaceae. RNAcentral also lists the same sequence under 1 other name. The record is from RNAcentral.